This 72-nucleotide transfer RNA is filed under the name Camelus bactrianus (Bactrian camel). It matches the Rfam family "tRNA". From Rfam's summary of the family: Transfer RNA (tRNA) molecules are approximately 80 nucleotides in length. Their secondary structure includes four short double-helical elements and three loops (D, anti-codon, and T loops). Lineage: Eukaryota; Metazoa; Chordata; Mammalia; Artiodactyla; Camelidae. The record is from Rfam by way of RNAcentral. RNAcentral also lists the same sequence under 2 other names.
GAGGGUAUAGCUCAGUGGUAGAGUGUGUGCUUAGCAUGCACGAGGUCUUAGGUUCAAUCCCUAGUACCGCCA